Molecule: long non-coding RNA, 5760 nt
Organism: Taeniopygia guttata (zebra finch)
Lineage: Eukaryota; Metazoa; Chordata; Aves; Passeriformes; Estrildidae
Source: Ensembl
UAAGUAAAUGCACACUUUCACAGCCAUUUCCAAGGUCACCACUUUUGGGGGCUGUUUGCUUAUAUGGUUGAGAGCAAAACAAGAACUUCCAGUUGUUCCUCAAGUUCCUCAAGCACAGGCAGAGAAUGAUUUAUCUUAUAGAUGAGUACAUAGGAAGGGACAGAAGCUCUACAAUUAAAUUAUUUUGAUUUGAAUCAUACUGCAUAUAUAACAGCCAUAAAAAUAACCAUUCUCCUCAACUGUGUUUUCUGGAUAUGUUAAUUAUCAGCCAGCUGUAAGGUGGAUAUAUUAUAGUAAGGAAUUCUGUCUUUCCUCACAACUUUCUUUUUUUCUUUUUCUGCCCUCUGACUUGACAGACAUGUCAGUACCACAUAUACAAACACACAUUGUACAUCCAACAACACUUUGGGUGAGGACUGAAACCCCUAAGGCAGAAAAAACACAAGAAUUUUUAAAGUGGAGCUUUCUCAGGCCAGACUAACACCAAUUAGUCUGAGCACCACAGCACGGCCUAACAGAAAUUCCAUUUGUGAGAGAAGGCCAAAUCAAAAGACAUUACUUACAUGUGUGAGUCUUCUUUGUUACAGAAAUACCUGUAGGGAAGAAACGACACCAGUGUUAGCAAAGCAACCAAAGUAAAUUCUUUUGACAUAUAAUUCAUCAUUAAUCUAUUUUAUCAGACACACAGCAGCCACUCUAAAGGAGGAAUGAAAAUUGCCAUGAUUUGUACGUUAAAGGUGGAAGGAUCUCCCCUCUGUGUGAAGAUUUUAAUGGUAUUUUCUCUCCUUACACCUCCCCAGUAAAUGUUUCAACAUGCAUUGCUUCAGCUUUGUUGCUGCAAUGUGUAUCUCCACACUGCUGGUUUAAAACUGGAGCUGAUACAAAACGAAGAUAACAGCAGUGCUAUGGAAGCCCCCUUUAUUUUCCAUAGCCAAAAAAGUUCCCACACUCCUAUUGACCCUGCCCAUUAAAGCACCCAGACAGAACGGAUUUGAGCAGCACAAGUCAUUUGCUGUCUUAUUAAGUCCAAGCAGUUCCUUGAAUGCAAGCUGUAGCUUAUGCUCAUUAAAGCCAAACAAACAGCUCUCUCAAUAUGACUAUUGCUUGUCAUAAUUCCAAGCCAGAUGCAAAUAUCUCCAAGCCAUUAAGGAUAGACUUUCUGAAGUAAUAAAGAUGUUUUCAUGCUAGACAGGCAUGUGGCAGCAAUCACCAAGGAUGGUCCAGUGCCAGUGAAAUUUGAGAGGCAUUUCAAAGAAAACAACAGUGAACAGAAUGAGGCAAAAUUCAUAAUACCAAAUAAAGAUAAAAUUAACUCUGUUAAAUGUCACUGGAAUUCAUGCUUGAAUACAAACAAUAUUGUCUCCACUUUAGUAGAUAACUGGUGACAUACUAGACCCAUCAGUAUUUAAGCUUCACUCUCCUUGGGGGUGAUUUUAUGAGAUGAUGAGAAAGAGGUUACUGGAAGCAGUACAAGUAUUUGAAACAUUUCAUUUGUAAUCAAGGCCUGUAAUAAAAUUUUGGAAUUGGGAUUGUCUGGCUUAAUAUUAAUGAAAGAGAGAGAGACCUGAAUCUCUUUUGCUACCCUCCAACUCCUUCAAACAUCUCUUCAAAAGCAGAUUACUAUGGACAGAGACAGGCUUUUAUUUCAGGCUUCCUGGUUGUGGAGCAUCUAAGAGAGGCAGCAAAUUACAGUAACUCAGAAAAAUGUAGACACCUUACUUGCAAAUACAGAGCUAAUUUCCAAAGCAAAUUUUUGAAAAAUAAUUUGCAAAAAUAAUUUGCUUUAAAAUUAUUUGUGUUUUUGAGAUACAUAAAACCCUAGUGCCAAUCCCAAAUAUUGAGCUAUCAAGUUUGACAUAACUGUCAUGAGGAUUUUUUUUUUUUUUUUAAAUCGCACUUAUGUUGCUGUUGGCAUUGGUUUUGAACUACCAAGCUCUACAAGUGUGAGCACUGGGACCUUUGGUUUCCCUGAAACGUUAAGAGGCUUCAGGCUUUGGGAAGUGAAGUUCUUUGGGCAGUUUUGCAAAUGUGAUACGCUGAUAAGCAAUUUACAGAAAUGAGAAUACUAGAACUUGAUUAUGUAUGUGUAUUAACUUGAAUUGAAAGGCCCUGGCAACCUGCACAUGCCUCACACAAGGAAUCAUAUUUGUUAUAGCCACAAACCGUAGAGUCAAGGUAAGCAAUAAAACCAAAACAGAACAAAAACCCCAGAAUCACAAAAAUAUCUACUACAGGGGGAAAACUCAUCCUUUAAAUUCAGAAUUUGUAAGAGCAAAAGGUCUCAGGUUUUCAUUCCAGUCCCACCAUCACUGGCUGGCUCAGAGUAGGGGACAGGACAGGAGGGUGUGACAAGGACAGACAUGAGCACAUUUGCAUUUUUGCUGCUGUUUGACUUCUUGAGUGACUCCUGAGCAGCAGGUACAGCUCCUGACAGCAUCCUCAUCUUCACAGACUGUCCUAACACCCCCUUGGCAGACACUCUUGCCUUGCCCUUGCCUAUCUGUCUGAUUCCAAUGAUUUUAAGGAUGUUUUAUGGAAUGGGAAAGCAGAGAAAAAGGUCUUUAAUCUGAACACCAUUUGCAAAACUUCCACUCCCAGCCCUCGUGCUAAUAAAUGGAUACAGCAGUGCUCUUUCAGCAUUAUGGGAGCCAUAUGUGUACUUUUCUCAGAAAAUAAUGCUUUCUGUAAAAUCACUUUGAACAGAAAGUGCUUAUGCUGUCACUUCUGAUUACUCACAGCCUCUUCACAAUGGGAUUUGCCACAGCACAAAACAGACUUAGCUGUAUUCGCUGACUGAGGACCCACUUUCCCUGAUACAUGAAACACUGCACUGAUGGAAAUAUUACUGCUUAUAUUUUUCUACCUUUUUUUUUUUUUUUUAAACGUGAGAUGCGUCGUGGGUUUUUCCAAAUCAGAUGUUUCCAUAAUAAUUACCGAUUAUCAUCUGGUAAAACCUUUUAGCUGGUUUAUGCAGAUAUUUUUAGAUAACCUUUUAAAGGAACAGCUUAGAGGUAGAUAUUUUUGCAUCUCCUUCAUUCCAUUGGUGGUUGCAUUGAAAACAAAGUAUUUUGCUUUGAGCUGUGGUUUUAAAGCAGCUGCAAUCUGGUGGAACAAGGAUAAAUGUUGCCAGUGAGUUCAAUGGGAUUACCUUUAAAUUAAUCAGUAAUCUUCAAUUAUAUAAAAUAAAAUAUGAAGUUUUAAGUAGUCUUCCUUUUCCCACAGGUAACUCUAAGUGACUAGAAAAACUGAGCAAAAAAGGUACCAGCUUAUCCAGAAAGUAACUUAAAUUAUAUAUAUGGUCUUAGUUAUAAUGUAUCUUAUAAUAUAUUAUAUUAAUUGUAUAUUAUAUUAUAUGUAUAUUAUAUUAUGUAUCUUCUAUUAUAAGAUACAUUAUAACUAGUGAUUUAAAUAUAAACAUUGAAGAUGCAACACUGUGAUCAGGUUUCCUUGCAUUACAGGAAGCCAAUGACUGCUAUCCAGGACGUCCAAGGUAGGCAAUAAUAACCUAGAAAUGAGUGGAUUGUGCAAAGAAAAAAAAACAGUCAUGAAAUCACUUAAUGUAAAAAGGGGGAAUUACAAGAGUCUGGCUCUCUCUGGGGCAGUGCUACAUUCCACUUGCUUCAACAUGUGAAUGCCUCUCCUAGGCAGUCAACACAUCAGCUCUCUUAAAAUCAACAGGGUCUCUUGAGAAACAAACUCUGCAAGUCCAACAUACACCAGUAAUUUUCUUCACAAGAUCAGGCACAAUUACCAAGGAUUACUCUUGUUUGUAAAUAUUUCUGGGGCAGGACAAUCAGUUUAUGUAGAUUUGAGUAGACACCAUAGAAUAAAACCUAAACCAAACACACCACUGAAAGAGAGAUUUAUUUUUAAUAAGUAGAGUACAAAGAAGCUACUGAUUCAUUUUAAAAUGUUACUUAGUAUAAAAUCCCAUUUUAAAAUGGGUUUCAUUUCAAAAUGUGAUAGGCUGGAGAAGUAAGUGACUGCUUGCCAGUAUUAGUACUCUCCUACACUGCCAGCAUUCCAUUCUCACUGAAGAACAAAUAUAAAAAACAUAAAGAGAGGAAGAAACAACACUGUAACUUCAGUGUUGCUAAUACAGAAAGACUUCCUGACUUAACCAACUAGACUUCAAAGUAAAGCAAAGGAAAUGUCAUGAAAAUAUCACAGUAUAUCACUGCCAUGGUUAUCAGUGAGUGAAAGUUUCAGUAUUACAGUUAUCACCGAAUGUAUCACUUCCGCAGUGCAAUUUGACAUUCCUGAUCAACACCAAAUCUUAAACAAAUUAACUUCUUACACUUUUCAUGGUGGCUAUACAAUGCUCUUUAAAACAACAAUUGUUUUUUUUUUUUAAUGAAAAGAACUUCUACACCAUUCCCUUUCCCCCUCCCACUAAUAGUAUGUAAUUUGCCAUGAUGGGUGGUAUUUACAAAAAUAGCUUGCUGGAUGCAAUGAACUUUGAAAAGAGUAUCUACCAACAGAGACAGGAUAUUCUUUUGCAAGCAGUUAGCCUGACUGACCUUCACUAGCCAACUUCAAAUAGAGAUAACAAUGUCUUAAAGUACAAAAAGAGACUCAGAUAUUUUAUACAUCAUAAGCUAUUUCUCACAGUUGCCCAUCCAAAUAAAGCAGCAUAAUGAAACACUGCUUACUCUGUGAACCCAGAUCCCUGCUGCUGUUGUACAGUUGUCAGCUCCCCGUAUUUCAAGGGGAAAACACACUUUGAUGUACAGAAAGAUAAGUAAAAGGGCCUUUGUCUGGCAGAAUACAUUACUCUGCAAAAUAUCAAAGAAGAAUAUCCUUGAGUACAAUUUUCUUAAACCUCUAAGAAAACGCUCCCUCAGAAGUCUGUAUGGAUAAACACAGGCAUCACCAGCAGAGCUCACAACUCAUCUCCAGCACUUCUGUUAAGCACCACUGUGUUUCCCCUGGCUCUACUUUUUGUGUCCAAAUCAGGUGAUUAACACUGCUCUGAUGACAGCACAUUCUGCAGAUGCUCUGGGUAUAAGAUGCUUUGCACAUGUGGGUGUGUGCAAUCAAUACAUGUUUCCCUUUUAACUUUCUCCUACCCUCCCCUCAGGCCAGCACUAUGUCCAUAGCAUAUUUUGGAACUCAGGCAUUUUAGGGGGGAUUGGAAAUCCCGGGAGAAAAAAAACCCCAAAUCUUAAAAUUUUAAUCUCCUAGCCUCCUGCCUGACAUAUUGUGUAAAAUCAGAAAGAAAACAUAUCACAAGCUUGGAUCCCACUGUGUUUCAUCCUGUCACACCAAUUCUUUUUUACUGUCACCACACAAAGCUGGCAAUUAUGGCAGAAGAUUAUGUGUAACACUGGGACACUUGCAGAGAACCUACCAAGGCAGAAUAAUAGAUUUAGGUGUAUUCAGUGAUCCUUGGGAGCUUGUUUACACUGACCAAGGUGAAACAGCACAUAUCAAAUACUGCAAACACAACUUAAAUGAAUUAACAUCUGAAAUAAAAUCACGUAGCAAAACAUCUAGGAUGUUUAUCUAGGACAGAAGAGCUGUUAAUGAUUAUUAGCACACACUACUGAAAGUACUCCAAGUAAUUUCACUAUUUUGUUUCCAAACUAUACUCUACUGCUUACAGUUCACUCAAGAAAAAAUUAAAAUUAGAUUUAAGGUGAGCAUGGAUCAAGGACAAGAGUCACUAAGCAUGUACAAACAAGAAAGCUUUCAAAAAUUAUGAUACCGCCCCUCCAAAAUAAAACCAAACCGAAAUGUCUCUUAAAAAAAAAAAAAAAA